Molecule: ribosomal RNA, 668 nt
Filed under: uncultured Actinomycetes bacterium
Lineage: Bacteria; Bacillati; Actinomycetota; Actinomycetes
Description: bacterial SSU rRNA
Rfam family: Bacterial small subunit ribosomal RNA
Source: RNAcentral
ACGCUUGUUGGUGAGGUAAUGGCUCACCAAGGGCGACGACGGGUAGCCGGCCUGAGAGGGCGACCGGCCACACUGGGACUGAGACACGGCCCAGACUCCUACGGGAGGCAGCAGUGGGGAAUAUUGCACAAUGGGCGAAAGCCUGAUGCAGCGACGCCGCGUGAGGGAUGACGGCCUUCGGGUUGUAAACCUCUUUCAGCAGGGAAGAAGCGAAAGUGACGGUACCUGCAGAAGAAGCGCCGGCUAACUACGUGCCAGCAGCCGCGGUAAUACGUAGGGCGCGAGCGUUGUCCGGAAUUUAUUGGGCGUAAAGAGCUCGUAGGCGGCUUGUCACGUCGGUUGUGAAAGCCCGGGGCUUAACCCCGGGUCUGCAGUCGAUACGGGCAGGCUAGAGUUCGGUAGGGGAGAUCGGAAUUCCUGGUGUAGCGGUGAAAUGCGCAGAUAUCAGGAGGAACACCGGUGGCGAAGGCGGAUCUCUGGGCCGAUACUGACGCUGAGGAGCGAAAGCGUGGGGAGCGAACAGGAUUAGAUACCCUGGUAGUCCACGCCGUAAACGGUGGGCACUAGGUGUGGGCGACAUUCCACGUCGUCCGUGCCGCAGCUAACGCAUUAAGUGCCCCGCCUGGGGGAGUACGGCCGCAAGGCUAAAACUCAAAAGGAAUUGACGG